AUUGAACGCUGGCGGAAUGCUUUACACAUGCAAGUCGAACGGCAGCACGGACUUCGGUCUGGUGGCGAGUGGCGAACGGGUGAGUAAUGUAUCGGAACGUGCCCAGUCGUGGGGGAUAACGUAGUGAAAAUUACGCUAAUACCGCAUACGAUCUAUGGAUGAAAGCGGGGGAUCGCAAGACCACGCGCGAUUGGAGCGGCCGAGAUCAGAUUAGGUAGUUGGUGGGGUAAAGGCCCACCAAGCCAACGAUCUGUAGCUGGUCUGAGAGGACGACCAGCCACACUGGAACUGAGACACGGUCCAGACUCCUACGGGAGGCAGCAGUGGGGAAUUUUGGACAAUGGGCGAAAGCCUGAUCCAGCCAUUCCGCGUGCAGGAUGAAGGCCCUCGGGUUGUAAACUGCUUUUGUACAGAACGAAAAGGUUUCUACUAAUACUAGGAGCUCAUGACGGUACUGUAAGAAUAAGCACCGGCUAACUACGUGCCAGCAGCCGCGGUAA
Molecule: ribosomal RNA, 500 nt
Filed under: uncultured bacterium
Lineage: Bacteria
Description: partial 16S ribosomal RNA
Rfam family: Bacterial small subunit ribosomal RNA
Source: RNAcentral